Molecule: ribosomal RNA, 2087 nt
Filed under: Candidatus Pacebacteria bacterium CG10_big_fil_rev_8_21_14_0_10_44_11
Lineage: Bacteria; Bacillati; Minisyncoccota
Description: bacterial LSU rRNA
Rfam family: Bacterial large subunit ribosomal RNA
Source: RNAcentral
UAAACUAACGCAUAUGGUGGAUGCCUUGGCUUGUUUGGCCGAAGAAGGACGCAUACUCCGCGAAAGUCGUCGGGGAGCUGAGUAACAGCUUUGAUCCGGCGGUGUCCGAAUGGGGAAACCCCCCAUGUAGAAGUACAUGGGACCCGGUAAUUUAUUACCGGGGGGGAACCUGGGGAACUGAAAUAUCUAAGUACCCAGUGGAAUAGAAAACGUAAGUGAUUCCCUUAGUAAGCGACGAGCGAACAGGGAAGAGUCUAAACCUGGAUUUAUCCAGGGGUUGCAGGACCUGAAUAUCGAACUACUUGAAGCUAGUAGAACUCUGUGGAAUAAGAGACCAAAGAACGUGAAAGUCGUGUACACGAAAGCAUCAAGUUAUCGUACAGUGUUCCUAAGUAGGUUGGGAGACGGCAAACUCCCUUCUGAAUCUGGGGUGACCACACUCCAAGACUAAAUACCAAACAAGACCGAUAGUGAACGAGUACCGUGAGGGAAAGGUGAAAAGAAGGGUGGAAGACCCCGUGAAAUAGUACCUGAAACCAUAUGCUAACAAUCAGAGAAAGCCCUGCGCGCAAGCGUACGGGUGAUCUCGUGCCUAUUGAAGAAUGAGCCUGCGAGUUUUUUCAUCAUGCAAAGCUUAAGUCCCACCGGGACGGAGGCGGAGGGAAACCGAGUCUGAAUAGGGCGUUGUCCGACUUUGUCGGAAUCAAGUAUGAUGGGAAAGACCCGAAACCGGGUGAGCUUACCAUGAUCAGGGUGAAAUCUCGUUAAACCGAGAUGAAAGCCCGCACCGAUGUAUGCUGCAAGAUGCUCGGAUGAAUUGUGGUAAGGGGUAAUAUGCCAAUCGAACCCGGAGAUAGCUGGUUCUCCCUGAAAUAUAUUUAGGUAUAGGGUCGCGUAUGAACCUGUCUGACAAAUCGCAUUCUACUGCAAGUCAUCAGACUUCGGCAAAAAGAAACAUUUAUUCUUCCUAGAAGUAGUCAAAGCUACUCCUUCGUCAGAAAUAAAGUUCUUUUUGCUCGAAUCUGACUGCCUUUCGUAACGAGUGAGAUUUGUCAGACAGGUUCUAAGCUGUAUGGGGGUAGAGCACUGAUCGGGUGCGCCUGACGCAAGUCAGGUCAUCUAGUCAAACUCCGAAUACCGUAUAGUGUUCCGCGGCACUCAGCAUCUGGGAGCUAAGUUCCAGAAACAAAAGGAAAACAAACCAGACCUACAGCUAAGGUCUCAAAUUGAAUGUUCAGUGGUUAAGGAAGUUUAUAUCCUAAGACACCUAGGAGGUCGGCUCAGAAGCAGCCAUCCUUUAAAGAAAGCGUAACAGCUCACUAGCCGUAGGGUAUAUGCGCCGAAAAUUCAUCGAGGCUAAAACAUUCAACCGAAGCUUAGGGUUUUCGUCUGCUUUUUGCAGACGGGAGCGGUAAGGGAGCGUUCUGUGUGCUUUGAAGCUCAGCCGUAAGGACUGGGUGGAGCGAUCAGAAGUGAGAAUGCAGGCAUGAGUAGCGAAAUUGGAGUGAGAAUCUCCAACUCCGAAUGACCAAGGUUUCCGCACCCACGUUCGUCGUGUGCGGGUUAGGCGACCCUAAGGUGAGCCCUGUUUUCAGGGGUAGCCGAUGGAUUACUGGUUAAUAUUCCAGUCCUUGGUAUAGAUCGUUAUUACUUGGGGAGGGACGAUGAUGGAUAAUUUGUGCCCAGCGGUGAAAGUUGGGUCUAAGCACUAAGGCAGUCUGAAUAGGCAAAUCCGUUCAGGCGUUUAUCAAAGGUGUGAUGGGGUUCUUGAGCCUUCGGGCAAAGGAAUACAAAUGACUUCAGCAUCCUGGAAAAGCUUCGCAAGGAGAGAUAUAUCAAAUCGUACCGAUAACCGACACAGGUGGUCUGGUCGAGUAGACUAAGGAGAGCGGGAGAAAGUAGUUUAAGGAAUUCGGCAAAACAACUAGGCGUAAUUUCGAGAGAUGCCUUCCCCUUUGCCGCAAGGUAAAGGGGCGCAGUGAAUGAAGUGGGAUGGACUGUUUACCAAAAACACAGGUCUGUGCAAACUCGUAAGAGGAAGUAUACAGGCUGAAGCCUGCCCAGUGCCGGAAGGUUAAGUGCGAGGG